ACUCCUACGGGAGGCAGCAGUGGGGAAUAUUGGACAAUGGGCGAAAGCCUGAUCCAGCAAUGCCGCGUGAGUGAUGAAGGCCUUAGUGUUGUAAAGCUCUUUUACCGGGAAGAUAAUGACUGUACCGGGAGAAUAAGCCCGGCUAACUCCGUGCCAGCAGCCGCGGUAAUACGGAGGGGCUAGCGUUGUUCGGAAUUACUGGGCGUAAAGCGCACGUAGGCGGCUUUGUAAGUCAGAGGUGAAAGCCUGGAGCUCAACUCCAGAACUGCCUUUGAGACUGCAUCGCUUGAAUCCAGGAGAGGUGAGUGGAAUUCCGAGUGUAGAGGUGAAAUUCGUAGAUAUUCGGAAGAACACCAGUGGCGAAGGCGGCUCACUGGACUGGUAUUGACGCUGAGGUGCGAAAGCGUGGGAGCAAACAGGAUUAGAUACCCUGGUAGGAUAGCG
RNAcentral lists this ribosomal RNA (444 nucleotides) under uncultured bacterium. RNAcentral describes it as "bacterial SSU rRNA". It matches the Rfam family "Bacterial small subunit ribosomal RNA", at positions 335 to 799 of the family's 1533-position model. The record is from RNAcentral.